CCCUUAGAUGUUCUGGGCCGCACGCGCGCUACACUGAUGCAUUCAACGAGUCUAAAACCUGGUCUGAUAGGGCUGGGUAAUCUUUUGAAAGUGCAUCGUGAUUGGGAUAGAUGAUUGCAAUUCUUCAUCUUCAACGAGGAAUGCCUAGUAAACGCAAGUCAUCAGCUUGCAUUGAUUACGUCCCUGCCCUUUGUACACACCGCCCGUCGCUCCUACCGAUUGAAUGAUCCGAUGAAUACCAUGGAUUGAGAGUUCGAAUAGGUUCGCCUAUUUCAGCUUCUCGAGGAGUGGAGUAAAUCUUAUCAUUUAGAGGAAGGAGAAGUCGUAACA
RNAcentral lists this ribosomal RNA (330 nucleotides) under uncultured eukaryote. RNAcentral's name for it is "partial 18S ribosomal RNA". It matches the Rfam family "Eukaryotic small subunit ribosomal RNA", at positions 1470 to 1796 of the family's 1831-position model. The record is from RNAcentral.